GCCGGGGUCGCCUAGCCUGGUCUAGGGCGCCGGUCCUGCUAUCCGGUCAUCCCGGGUUCGAAUCCCGGCCCCGGCACCA
This 79-nucleotide transfer RNA is filed under the name Thermofilum sp. RNAcentral describes it as "tRNA-Ala". It matches the Rfam family "tRNA". Rfam says of the family: Transfer RNA (tRNA) molecules are approximately 80 nucleotides in length. Their secondary structure includes four short double-helical elements and three loops (D, anti-codon, and T loops). Further hydrogen bonds mediate the characteristic L-shaped molecular structure. tRNAs have two regions of fundamental functional importance: the anti-codon, which is responsible for specific mRNA codon recognition, and the 3' end, to which the tRNAs corresponding amino acid is attached (by aminoacyl-tRNA synthetases). tRNAs cope with the degeneracy of the genetic code in two manners: having more than one tRNA (with a specific anti-codon) for a particular amino acid; and 'wobble' base-pairing, i.e. permitting non-standard base-pairing at the 3rd anti-codon position. The record is from RNAcentral. Lineage: Archaea; Thermoproteati; Thermoproteota; Thermoprotei; Thermofilales; Thermofilaceae.